RNAcentral lists this ribosomal RNA (603 nucleotides) under uncultured fungus. Its description in RNAcentral is "eukaryotic LSU rRNA". It matches the Rfam family "Eukaryotic large subunit ribosomal RNA", at positions 23 to 641 of the family's 3401-position model. Lineage: Eukaryota; Fungi. The record is from RNAcentral.
ACCCGCUGAACUUAAGCAUAUCAAUAAGCGGAGGAAAAGAAACCAACAGGGAUUGCCCUAGUAACGGCGAGUGAAGCGGCAACAGCUCAAAUUUGAAAUCUGGCUCUUUUAGAGUCCGAGUUGUAAUUUGCAGAGGGCGCUUUGGCUUUGGCAGCGGUCCAAGUUCCUUGGAACAGGACGUCACAGAGGGUGAGAAUCCCGUACGUGGUCGCUGGCUAUUGCCGUGUAAAGCCCCUUCGACGAGUCGAGUUGUUUGGGAAUGCAGCUCUAAAUGGGAGGUACAUUUCUUCUAAAGCCAAAUAUUGGCCAGAGACCGAUAGCGCACAAGUAGAGUGAUCGAAAGAUGAAAAGCACUUUGGAAAGAGAGCCAAACAGCACGUGAAAUUGUUGAAAGGGAAGCGCUUGCAGCCAGACUUGCUUACAGUUGCUCAUCCGGGCUUUUGCCCGGUGCACUCUUCUGUAGGCAGGCCAGCAUCAGUUUGGGCGGUAGGAUAAAGGUCUCUGUCACGUACCUCUCUUCGGGGAGGCCUUAUAGGGGAGACGACAUACUACCAGCCUGGACUGAGGUCCGCGCAUCUGCUAGGAUGCUGGCGUAAUGGCUGU